GAGAUGGACGGCAUCCACUUCAAACUGCCUACCACGUGAGUAACCUGGCAGGGAAGCUGCAAGCCUCCAACACGGAGUGUCUGCUGCCAGCCUUCAGCUCCCUGUACUGCUGUCUGUGCCUGUCCCUCCCCCUCACUGCACUGACAGAGCUGUGUCCAUGCUGCUGUGUAACGCCGGGCUGAUGGAACAACUGCAGGCUACGCUGGACCUCUCCUCUUCCCUCUCUCCUCCGUCUGCCCUGCUGUGCUGCUCUCGUCUGCCCUGAUGUGCUGCUCUCGUCUGCCCUGAUGUGCUGCUCUCGUCUGCCCUGCUGUGCUGCUCUCGUCUGCCCUGAUGUGCUGCUCUCCUCUGCCCUGAUGUGCUGCUCUCCUCUGCCCUGAUGUGCUGCUCUCGUCUGCCCUGCUGUGCUGCUCUCCUCUGCCCUGAUGUGCUGCUCUCGUCUGCCCUGCUGUGCUGCUCUCGUCUGCCCUGAUGUGCUGCUCUCGUCUGCCCUGCUGUGCUGCUCUCGUCUGCCCUGCUGUGCUGCUCUCCUCUGCCCUGAUGUGCUGCUCUCGUCUGCCCUGAUGUGCUGCUUUCCUCUGCCCUGAUGUGCUGCUCUCGUCUGCCCUGC
Molecule: long non-coding RNA, 610 nt
Organism: Oncorhynchus keta (chum salmon)
Lineage: Eukaryota; Metazoa; Chordata; Actinopteri; Salmoniformes; Salmonidae
Exons: 3
Source: RefSeq, a predicted model, not a curated record